AACGAAGUGAAUUGAAAUAUCUUAGUAACUUUAGGAAAAGAAAUCAAACGAGAUUGUUAUUUGGUGCAAACUAAAUAACAAGAGCCUAUUAACAAAACUUGUUAAAGUAAAAUGGAUUAAAAUCUGUUUGAAUAUAGGGGAACCUUCCUCUAAGGCUAAAUAUGAUAUAUAAGCGAUAGUGAAAAGUACCGUGAGGUAAAAUUUGAAAUAGUAGUUUUAUAAGCAGCUCGAGUGAAAAUUUAAAUAAGUAAUAAGAGUGUACCUUUUGCAUAAUGGGUCAGCAAGUUAAUUUUAGAUGCAAGCAAUGAUUUCGUGCGCUUUGCGCAUGGAACUAGCUUAGAUAAACCAAUUAUGAGAAAAUGAAUAAGUAUCUAGAAUUAGACCCGAAGGCUAGUGAUCUUACCAUGGUCAGGAUUAUAAAAGUCCGAACGGGUUAUCGUUGUAUAGAUAUCCGAAGAAUUGUGGUAAGUUAGUGAAAGACAAAACUGACUAGUAUAGCUGGUUUUCCGCGAAACCUAUAUGAGUAGGUAAUUUAACUAACAUCUUAGCAGGUACAGAACUGUGAUCUCGGACAAUAUCUUUUGAUUUUGUCAACAUCGGGGGGUUGUAGUGACUUUACCGGAGAGUAUUUGCACUCGGAAUGGCAAAGAUGAAUGUUGAAUAAUCGGACAUAGUGCGAUAAGGUUGUAUGUCUAAAGGGAAACAGCCCAGAACAAGAGUUAAGGUUCCAAAAUUAUUGUUGAGUGAAAUUAAGGAUGUUUUUUUUAAAAACAAUCAGGAAAUAGGCUUAGAAGCGGCCAUUUUUUGAAGACCUCGUAACAGAGCACUGAUUAAUUAAAUUUAGAAAAAAACACCGAAAAUUUAACGGAUCUAAACAAUAUACCGAAACCUUGUACACAUAUUUAUAAUAUUAAUAUUGUAUAUGUGGGGUAGCGGAACAUUGGAUAAAUAUUAAUUAUUAUUUCUUCUAAGAAGUAAUAAGUAUGGAUUAUUAUUAAAAAUAUUUAUUUAUUAAAGAUAUUUAUGUAAUAUUAUUAUACUUAAAAGGUAUAAUGUUUAGAUGAAUAUAUAGAUAGAUUAUAUCUGUCUUUAUUAUUAAUAUAAUCCAUCGAUAUAAUCCAAGAGAGAAUGCUGACAUGAGUAACGAAAAAGGAAUAUCCUCGCCUUAAGCUUAUGGUAUUAUAUUUAAUUUUCGGUAUCUAAAAGUAUUAAUCAAAAGGUAAUUUUGAUGAUAUUUAUAUAUAAAUACUUAAAAAUAAAAAACAAAACCUUUAACAAGUAAUAAAGGUUCUGGAAAAAUUUUUAUUUUUAUUAAGUGAAGUAUAAUGCAAUAUAGGUAUAUUAUAAUUUAUAUAAUUUUCUUGUUACAAGUUUUCAAGAUUGUAUAGAUUUUAUCUAUAUUAAAUAUAUUUUCUUUUUUAUACUAUUGUAUAAGUAAGGUUUAUAUAUACCGUACCUAGAUACUAUCACAAGUAAGCAAGUAGAGAAUACAAAGGCGUUUGAGUGAACAAUCAUUAAGGAACUCGGCAAAUUGACUACCGUAACUUCGGGAUAAGGAGGGCCAUUAUGAUUAGUUUAACAUAUCUUAUGAUAUGAUUUAAUUAAACUAAUCAUAAGAGGAAACAUGAAAUAAUGUUGUACGACUGUUUAAUAAAAACACAGCACUCUGCAAAGAUAAAAUAUCAAAGUAUUGAGUGUGAUGUCUGCCCAAUGUCGGCUGGGUAACGGAUUUACCUUGGUUUUUAACUGAGGUUUUGAAGGAUACCCCGAUUAAUGGCGGCCUUACCUAUGAGGGUCCUAAGGUAGCGAAAUACCUUGGCCGUUAAAUGCGGUCCUGCAUGAAUGACUUAACGAUACAACAGCUGUCUCGAUGAUUGUCUCAGUGAAAUUGGAAUAGCAGUGCAGAUACUGUUUACCUCUAGAUAGACGAGAAGACCCUAUGCAGCUUUACUGUUACUAAUUGCAAGAGUGGAAAUUUAGGAUGAUUUCGAGUGUAUAAGGUAGUUGUUUGAUAACAAUGAAACACCUUUAUUCGUUUCCUACUAUAUGCUCUUGAGGAUUGGGAGGCAGUUUAUGCGGGGCACAGAUCCCACAAAAAGUACCUGGGUAUAUCCAAAGUUCAUUUUGUAAAUUUGUAAAUUUCUUUACAAAUAUUUUAAUUUGUUAUAAUUAUAUUCAUAAUUAUACAGUUAUUGUUAGAUUAAGUUCAAUAUUUAUUUUUUAUUUAAGUAAGAUUUUAACUAUAUGGUGAAUAGAUGUAUUUUAAACUUUACCCGGGGAGGGAGUGAUCCAACUCCGGGAUAUUUAAAAGUUUUUUCUCAUAUUAAUAUUGUAUUUUAUCUUUAUUAAUAUGAUAAUUAAUUAUACUUUAAAAGUUUAAUGGCUAAAUCUUGCUUUACUGUUUGACCUACAAGUCUAUCAGUCGCGUAAGCGGGGCAUAUGAUCACAAGAUGCAUAAAGGAAAGGUCUUGGAUUAUAGAAAAAGUUACGCUAGGGAUAACAGGCUAAUUUGCGCAAGAGAGUACAAAUUGAGUGCGCGGUUUGGCACCUCGAUGUCGGCUUAGCUCAUCCACAUGAAUGCAAAAAUCAUGAAGGGUUCGACUGUUCGUCGAUUAAAGAGCUACAUGAGCUGGGUUUAAUACGUCGUGAGACAGUAUGGUUUCUAUCUUCUAGAGGGAAUUAAAGUAGAAUAAAGAUAGCCCCUUCGUACGAAAGGAGUUGGGUAUAUUGACCUAUGGUUUACCUGUUGUUUAUGUUAUAUAUUAUUAUACAUAAUAUAUCAUUUACUUAUACUUAAGUAAAUUGUUCACAUAGGCAUGGCAGGAAGGCUACGUCAGUUAAAGAUAAGUGCUGAAAGCAUUUAAGCGCGAAGCUUACUUUAGGAUACUUUUAAACGUAGUAGAACACUACGA
This 2912-nucleotide ribosomal RNA is filed under the name Aspergillus novoparasiticus. RNAcentral's name for it is "large subunit ribosomal RNA". It matches the Rfam family "Bacterial large subunit ribosomal RNA". The record is from RNAcentral. RNAcentral also lists the same sequence under 1 other name. Lineage: Eukaryota; Fungi; Ascomycota; Eurotiomycetes; Eurotiales; Aspergillaceae.